UGAGCGGCGGACGGGUGAGUAACGCGUGGGUAACCUACCUCAUACGAGGGGAUAACAGUUGAAAACGGCUGCUAAUACCGCAUAAGCGCACAGUACCGCAUGGUACCGUGUGAAAAACUCCGGUGGUAUGAGAUGGACCCGCGUCUGAUUAGCUAGUUGGUGGGGUAACGGCCUACCAAGGCGACGAUCAGUAGCCGACCUGAGAGGGUGACCGGCCACAUUGGGACUGAGACACGGCCCAA
This 242-nucleotide ribosomal RNA is filed under the name uncultured bacterium. Its description in RNAcentral is "partial 16S ribosomal RNA". It matches the Rfam family "Bacterial small subunit ribosomal RNA", at positions 92 to 334 of the family's 1533-position model. The record is from RNAcentral.